UGGGGGAUAUUGCACAAUGGAGGAAACUCUGAUGCAGCAACGCCGCGUGAGGGAAGAAGGUCUUCGGAUUGUAAACCUUAGUAGUCAGGGACGAAACAAAUGACGGUACCUGAAGAGUAAGCUCCGGCUAACUACGUGCCAGCAGCCGCGGUAAUACGUAGGGAGCGAGCGUUGUCCGGAAUUACUGGGUGUAAAGGGUGCGUAGGCGGGACUGCAAGUCAGGCGUGAAAUACCGGGGCUUAACUCCGGGGCUGCGCUUGAAACUGUGGUUCUUGAGUGAAGUAGAGGCAGGCGGAAUUCCUAGUGUAGCGGUGAAAUGCGUAGAUAUUAGGAGGAACACCAGUGGCGAAGGCGGCUUUCUGGACGACAACUGACGCUGAGGCGCGAAAGCGUGGGGAGCAAACAGG
RNAcentral lists this ribosomal RNA (407 nucleotides) under uncultured prokaryote. RNAcentral's name for it is "bacterial SSU rRNA". It matches the Rfam family "Bacterial small subunit ribosomal RNA", at positions 355 to 776 of the family's 1533-position model. RNAcentral also lists the same sequence under 1 other name. The record is from RNAcentral.